This 254-nucleotide ribosomal RNA is filed under the name uncultured bacterium. Its description in RNAcentral is "partial 16S ribosomal RNA". It matches the Rfam family "Bacterial small subunit ribosomal RNA", at positions 524 to 776 of the family's 1533-position model. The record is from RNAcentral.
UACGGGGGGGGCAAGCGUUGUUCGGAAUUACUGGGCGUAAAGGGCUCGUAGGCGGCCAACUAAGUCAGACGUGAAAUCCCUCGGCUUAACCGGGGAACUGCGUCUGAUACUGGAUGGCUCGAGUUUGGGAGAGGGAUGCGGAAUUCCAGGUGUAGCGGUGAAAUGCGUAGAUAUCUGGAGGAACACCGGUGGCGAAGGCGGCAUCCUGGGCCAACACUGACGCUGAGUGAGCGAAAGCCAGGGGAGCAAACGGG